CCUACGGGAGGCAGCAGUGAGGAAUAUUGGUCAAUGGGCGGAAGCCUGAACCAGCCAAGUAGCGUGCAGGAUGACGGCCCUAUGGGUUGUAAACUGCUUUUAUACAGGAAUAAAGUUAGCCACGUGUGGUUAUUUGUAGGUACUGUAUGAAUAAGGACCGGCUAAUUCCGUGCCAGCAGCCGCGGUAAU
Molecule: ribosomal RNA, 189 nt
Filed under: uncultured bacterium
Lineage: Bacteria
Description: partial 16S ribosomal RNA
Rfam family: Bacterial small subunit ribosomal RNA
Source: RNAcentral